RNAcentral lists this small nucleolar RNA (82 nucleotides) under Stylonychia lemnae. The record is from RNAcentral. Lineage: Eukaryota; Ciliophora; Spirotrichea; Sporadotrichida; Oxytrichidae.
GAGUGACGAUGAAGCAAAUGAUAUUAAACUACAUAAUUCAUUUGAUGAACAAAAACAUCGAGCUUUUUAAUACUGAAACACU